Molecule: transfer RNA, 66 nt
Filed under: Ostrea edulis (European flat oyster)
Lineage: Eukaryota; Metazoa; Mollusca; Bivalvia; Ostreida; Ostreidae
Description: tRNA-Ile
Source: RNAcentral
GGUAUUGUGCCAGAGUUAAUGGAUUUUGUUGAUGUCAAAAACUACAGGGAAUCUCCCUCAAUACCU